Molecule: ribosomal RNA, 468 nt
Filed under: uncultured bacterium
Lineage: Bacteria
Description: partial 16S ribosomal RNA
Rfam family: Bacterial small subunit ribosomal RNA
Source: RNAcentral
GACGAACGCUGGCGGCGUGCUUAACACAUGCAAGUCGAACGGAAAGGCCCUGCUUUUGUGGGGUGCUCGAGUGGCGAACGGGUGAGUAACACGUGAGUAACCUGCCCUUGACUUUGGGAUAACUUCAGGAAACUGGGGCGAAUACCGGAUAGGAGCUCCUGCUGCAUGGUGGGGGUUGGAAAGUUUCGGAGGUUGGGGAUGGACUCGCGGCUUAUCAGCUUGUUGGUGGGGUAGUGGCUUACCAAGGCUUUGACGGGUAGCCGGCCUGAGCGGGUGACCGGCCACAUUGGGACUGAGAUACGGCCCAGACUCCUACGGGAGGCAGCAGUGGGGAAUAUUGCACAAUGGGCGGACGCCUGAUGCAGCAACCCCGCGUGCGGGAUGACGGCCUUCGGGUUGUAAACCGCUUUCGCAUGUGACGAAGCGUGAGUGACGGUAAUGGGUAAAGAAGCACCGGCUAACUACGUG